Molecule: long non-coding RNA, 519 nt
Organism: Diceros bicornis minor
Lineage: Eukaryota; Metazoa; Chordata; Mammalia; Perissodactyla; Rhinocerotidae
Exons: 3
Source: RefSeq, a predicted model, not a curated record
UGCAUUUGGAGAUCCACAUGGUUCUGGGAAGCUAACUCCACCCCAAAUUCCAGCAAGGGAGCAUGAGACCUCAGCUGAGCCAAUCCACACAUUCCAUCCUCUUGGCUGUUUGAAGAGCUGAAUUCUGGAAAGGAUUUGAAAACUGGGCAUACCAACUCUGACCAGGAAUUGGAAUCCCUUGUCCAUUUCAAGCUGGUUGAGACCACCAACUCAUCAACUGGGCCCCCACAGACAUAUGUCCAAUGAUCGACCUUUUGACGUCAAGAGGUUAAAACUCCACCCUCAGGGCAUGCUAACACCGCCAUUCUGCGAACAUGCGUCCUACGAAGAAGCAUGAAGCCUGACUAUGCUUGCACAGAUCAUCAAUUACCUCAUCUCUCCUCACCUGCAAUCAUUUCAGACCACCUUGCCCCCGACCCAAUAAAUAUCUUUGAGUCCCUAUUUUCGGGGAAGUGGAUUUGAGAUUCAUUCUCCCGUUUCCUCACUUGGCUGCCUUGUGAUUAAUAAACCCUCUCUCUC